This 324-nucleotide ribosomal RNA is filed under the name Salmonella enterica subsp. enterica serovar Braenderup. Its description in RNAcentral is "bacterial LSU rRNA". It matches the Rfam family "Bacterial large subunit ribosomal RNA", at positions 457 to 783 of the family's 2925-position model. Lineage: Bacteria; Pseudomonadati; Pseudomonadota; Gammaproteobacteria; Enterobacterales; Enterobacteriaceae. The record is from RNAcentral.
CCUCCAAGGCUAAAUACUCCUGACUGACCGAUAGUGAACCAGUACCGUGAGGGAAAGGCGAAAAGAACCCCGGCGAGGGGAGUGAAAAAGAACCUGAAACCGUGUACGUACAAGCAGUGGGAGCACCCUUUUGGGUGUGACUGCGUACCUUUUGUAUAAUGGGUCAGCGACUUAUAUUCUGUAGCAAGGUUAACCGCAUAGGGGAGCCGGAGGGAAACCGAGUCUUAAUUGGGCGUUAAGUUGCAGGGUAUAGACCCGAAACCCGGUGAUCUAGCCAUGGGCAGGUUGAAGGUUGGGUAACACUAACUGGAGGACCGAACCGAC